UCGAGGAUUUUUCUCAAUGGGGGAAACCCUGAAGGAGCGACGCCGCGUGAGGGAUGAAGGUCUUCGGAUUGUAAACCUCUGUCAUCUGGGAACAAUGUGAUUCACCUAACACGUGGAUUAUUGAUAGUACCGGAAGAGGAAGCAGUGGCUAACUCUGUGCCAGCAGCCGCGGUAAUACAGAGACUGCAAGCGUUGUUCGGAUUCAUUGGGCGUAAAGGGUGCGCAGGCGGCCCGUUAAGUCGGAUGUGAAAUCUCAUAGCCUAACUAUGAUAGGUCAUUCGAAACUGGCGGACUUGAGGACUGGAGAGGAGACUGGAAUGGUCGGUGUAGCGGUGAAAUGCGUAGAGAUCGACCAGAACACCGGUGGCGAAGGCGGGUCUCUGGACAGUUCCUGACGCUCAGGCACGAAAGCCAGGGGAGCAAACGGG
This 428-nucleotide ribosomal RNA is filed under the name uncultured bacterium. RNAcentral describes it as "bacterial SSU rRNA". It matches the Rfam family "Bacterial small subunit ribosomal RNA", at positions 355 to 776 of the family's 1533-position model. The record is from RNAcentral.